GGCUGAUACAUAAAGAGCCUCCACAAGCUUACGCAUGAAAAGCCACUAUGAAUAGGAUAGCCUCCACGGACUUACGCGUGGAAUACCAUUAUGAGUAGGAUAGCCUCUGCGGACUUAUGCGUGGAAAGCCACCACGAGUGAGAUAGCCAUCAUAGGCUAUAACAUGGUACGGUAUCAAUCUUAAUAUUAAUCUUAGACUAAGUCUUGGUAUCAGUCUUGGACUAAGUUAUGAUCUUGUUUAGUUCAAAAUCAAAAAAAAAAUUGAUAAAAUAUUUAGAAAUCAAACUAAUAAGAAAUGGAUUACAUGACUUAAAAAAUUAUUGUUAAACAAAUAAUUAUAUAUAUAUAUAUAUAUAUAUGAAAAGAUGAUAAUAAGAACUUAUAUGCAAGUAACAUAUGAGUUUUCCGACAAUUGAUACAAUAUCCAGUUAUCUGAUAUUAUUAAUUGAUUAUUUUUUUAUUACUUAUGAUGUAGUGAUUUGUAAUUCUUACUAGACUGUAAAGCUUGCAAGCUGUAUAGUAUAUGUCUAUGAUUGAGAUCACAAAUAGAGGAAAUGAUUAAAUAGCAUCACUGAUACUAGUUGGAUGAUUAAAAUUUUUAAUUGGACCAACUUUGUUAUUUGAUAUGAAAUAAGAUCAUUGUUGAUUGCGGAUAUAAAGGCAUGCCGGACAACGGCAUUGACAAAAUUGCAGAAAGGAAAUCUGCAAAGAACUAAAACCAACC
Molecule: long non-coding RNA, 724 nt
Filed under: Phoenix dactylifera (date palm)
Lineage: Eukaryota; Viridiplantae; Streptophyta; Magnoliopsida; Arecales; Arecaceae
Description: long non-coding RNA (PDAC_LNC018949)
Source: RNAcentral